Molecule: long non-coding RNA, 1232 nt
Filed under: Sus scrofa (pig)
Lineage: Eukaryota; Metazoa; Chordata; Mammalia; Artiodactyla; Suidae
Description: lncRNA (ENSSSCG00070002759.1)
Source: RNAcentral
CUUUCCCCCAGCACCCCCCCCAACCCCAAGAAGUUUCCAAAGUGACCACAUGUGGGCCCAAAUCAAACCCUUGUCCUCAGGCCUCUGCUGGCACUUCUCCCAGAUCGCCCACCUUCCUCCUCCAGCUCCGCAGCCCGGCCACCCUCCUCACCCCUGCCCCCGCCAUUCCUCUUUGUGGACAACUUUCUAAAUGCAGCCAAACUUCCCCUUUCAGUCCACAGCCCCCAGAAAACAGCUGCAAAAAGUCAGCGGCUCGGCAAGUUCUCUUGCAAAGUUUGGCCGAGAGUAACAGCCACUCGUUCUAGCCAUUGCCACCCUCUCCCAGGCUCAGAAGGCCAGUCUCCCCCUCCAGGAAACAGUGAGAAGCCCCGCUCCAGUACUGCUCCCGGGGUCACAGUCUCCCCAGCAAUCUAAUCUAGAGAGAACUCCUGAAAGGGGCCCGGCUGAGGGUAGCUGGGGGAAGUUGACCGCCCGAAACCUGACGGGUUUCCUGACCUUGCCCAAGCCCUCUGUGACCCUGGGCACCUCACUUACUCCCCCCACCACUGCCCCCCCACACCCAGGCACAGGCCUCUCCUUUGGAGAACAAGGGAUGGAUACAUUGGUUGAUUUUCCAGGCCCCUUCCAAGUCUGAAAUUCCACACAUGGGUCGUUUCUCCCUAGGGUGCCCAGGGAUGGGAGAGAAGCUGUGCCCAGGGACACCCGUCUCACUGAGGGUGGUCUGACCAGGCCUCCGAAAAUGCAUUCUUCGUCCUCUCGGUGACAGUCGGCCCCCUGUAAAAGAGAGGCUCUCACGCCCGAGUCUGAUCAGAAUCACCUGGGAAAACCACACCAUCUCCGACCCCAGCUACACUCCGGACCAAAGAAACCAGAAUCUCAGCUCAGGGCCUGGUCCUCAGUCUGUUUGGAAGGUUACUCAGGUGAUUCUGAAUGAGCAGAAAGAGUUCAGAACCAUUGUGGAAAAGGCAUCUAGAAACGAAAGAGGAAGCUGUAAGCCAGAGAUGCCACAUCUGGGUGCCACCUUCUCUGCUGAGAAGCUCUUGAGGCCAGUGGGAUGGACUCCAGUUCACACGCUUGUAACCACCACCCCUUCAUGGCUGCCACAAGAACGAGUGAAAACCUGUGGGAAAAGUGCAAAGGCAGUUAAUUUGUGGCGUGAGAGCACAGGAAACUCAGCUCUCAGAACGGGCUUCAGGAGAAGGCCGGAAGCCUGCAGCAACGUUUUGAAUUGA